CCAUUCACCUCUCCCCGAGGGCUGACGGCUACUUGCAGGGAAUGUUGGGAAAAAUUCAAGUGACAGGUUAUGCAAGGGCUGGUGACUACCUGAUGGACGAAAGACUCUGUGUGUGUGUGUGUGUGUGUGUGUGUGUGUGUGUGUGUGUGUGUGUGUGUGUGUGUGAGGGGGGUGUUUGAACAGUCCAGGAGAGGGUACUUUGCAGGCAAGGUGCAAGUGCUGUGAGUUACAACAUAAAGGGGCCUUGUUACACCAUGGUGGUGGAGGCAGAAAUCAGUGUAAGCUACUUGUCCCUGGAGUUCUGCCAAAAGGCUUCAUUUCCUGACCUCUAAACCCUUUGAAGUCCGAAUGCCCCGCCCCCCAUCACAGUUAUAAACAGCGAGGCUCCAGGGCCAGGGCCUUCCCAGCCACACCUGCUAGUAUACAGAUCUGUGUCCCCAGGAGGCAGCUUCCUGUACCCUGUACUGCCCAGCAGCUGCUUUGGUUAACAGAUCCCAGCUCUUCUUCAGCGUCAACAAGGUUUCCCAUGUGCGCCAAGGGUAGCAAUGUCCCUGCCUUAUCAGCCUAGCAACGAGAAGGCCAGUUUCCAGGAAAGCGGCCACCUGAUCCAGCCUGGUGAAACCCAUUCGCAGCCCAGCCACUGCUCUGGCCUUCACAUCCCAGCACUCAACAGCAGGGCCACAUGACAGCGUUUUCAGUUGGCUAGCCCUCCUUCUCCCCGGCAGCCGGGCUGUGGUUUGUGAAUGACGAGGAACCUAAAGCCAGAGGAGAAGCAGAAGUGGAGCUUGAGACUGUCUUCUUCCAUAUUCUCAGGGAGUGCAGCUUCACACCCCUGCAGCUCCACACUGUCCCUGGAGUGGGGGAUGGGCAGGGCGAGCAUGUGCUGGGACAGGGCAUGAGGGUGAUGAGGAGCCUUAAAGUCCAGGAACUUUGCCUCUCCAGCUCAGUCUUGGUUCCCCCCACCCUCUUGCCCUAUCUACCAUGCACUCAUACAACAUCUCCCUGGUCCCUUCCAACACUAUUGGCUUUUCCUUCGGGGCCAGUGUAAAACCUUCACUGACUUUUACCAGGGCAGGAGAGGGG
This 1083-nucleotide long non-coding RNA is filed under the name Mus spicilegus (steppe mouse). RNAcentral's name for it is "lncRNA (ENSMSIG00000030281.1)". Lineage: Eukaryota; Metazoa; Chordata; Mammalia; Rodentia; Muridae. The record is from RNAcentral.